AGAGUUUGAUCCUGGCUCAGGAUGAACGCUGGCGGCGUGCCUAAUACAUGCAAGUCGAACGAAACUUCUUUAUCACCGAGUGCUUGCACUCACCGAUAAAGAGUUGAGUGGCGAACGGGUGAGUAACACGUGGGCAACCUGCCCAAAAGAGGGGGAUAACACUUGGAAACAGGUGCUAAUACCGCAUAACCAUAGUUACCGCAUGGUAACUAUGUGAAAGGUGGCUAUGCUACCGCUUUUGGAUGGGCCCGCGGCGCAUUAGCUAGUUGGUGGGGUAAAGGCUUACCAAGGCAAUGAUGCGUAGCCGAACUGAGAGGUUGAUCGGCCACAUUGGGACUGAGACACGGCCCAAACUCCUACGGGAGGCAGCAGUAGGGAAUCUUCCACAAUGGGCGAAAGCCUGAUGGAGCAACGCCGCGUGGGUGAAGAAGGUCUUCGGAUCGUAAAACCCUGUUGUUAGAGAAGAAAGUGCGUGAGAGUAACUGUUCACGUUUCGACGGUAUCUAACCAGAAAGCCACGGCUAACUACGUGCCAGCAGCCGCGGUAAUACGUAGGUGGCAAGCGUUAUCCGGAUUUAUUGGGCGUAAAGGGAACGCAGGCGGUCUUUUAAGUCUGAUGUGAAAGCCUUCGGCUUAACCGGAGUAGUGCAUUGGAAACUGGGAGACUUGAGUGCAGAAGAGGAGAGUGGAACUCCAUGUGUAGCGGUGAAAUGCGUAGAUAUAUGGAAGAACACCAGUGGCGAAAGCGGCUCUCUGGUCUGUAACUGACGCUGAGGUUCGAAAGCGUGGGUAGCAAACAG
Molecule: ribosomal RNA, 800 nt
Filed under: uncultured bacterium
Lineage: Bacteria
Description: bacterial SSU rRNA
Rfam family: Bacterial small subunit ribosomal RNA
Source: RNAcentral